Molecule: ribosomal RNA, 429 nt
Filed under: Acidobacteriota bacterium
Lineage: Bacteria; Pseudomonadati; Acidobacteriota
Description: Acidobacteria bacterium partial 16S ribosomal RNA
Rfam family: Bacterial small subunit ribosomal RNA
Source: RNAcentral
UGGGGAAUUUUGGACAAUGGGGGAAACCCUGAUCCAGCCAUCCCGCGUGUGCGAUGAAGGCCUUCGGGUUGUAAAGCACUUUUGGCAGGAAAGAAACGUCAUGGGUUAAUACCCCGUGAAACUGACGGUACCUGCAGAAUAAGCACCGGCUAACUACGUGCCAGCAGCCGCGGUAAUACGUAGGGUGCAAGCGUUAAUCGGAAUUACUGGGCGUAAAGCGUGCGCAGGCGGUUCGGAAAGAAAGAAGUGAAAUCCCAGAGCUCAACUUUGGAACUGCAUUUUUAACUACCGGGCUAGAGUGUGUGAGAGGGAGGUGGAAUUCCGCGUGUAGCAAUGAAAUGCGUAGAUAUGCGGAGGAACACCGAUGGCGAAGGCAGCCUCCUGGGAUAACACUGACGCUCAUGCACGAAAGCGUGGAGAGCAAACAGG